This 579-nucleotide long non-coding RNA is filed under the name Chrysolophus pictus (golden pheasant). RNAcentral describes it as "lncRNA (ENSCPIG00010011552.1)". Lineage: Eukaryota; Metazoa; Chordata; Aves; Galliformes; Phasianidae. The record is from RNAcentral.
CCUGCUGUAGCAAUGUCACUUUGAGGCACAUGGAGCAGCCAACACACACCUAUUUGUGGAGCAAGCAUUAAAAAGCAGACCCACCUUUGCCAGAUUUGCUCCCAGACCACGGCCAUCUCAGCGUGUUUAUGGCUUCCACUUGUGGGCUGUUUGGGAUCAUUAAAUAAAUGUCACAGGAACUCUGGAGGUGGUAAGUAAUCAGAGCAGCUGGGAGAGCUGAAACAACUGCAAGGGCAAGAAAAAUAUUUUGCAAAGGAAACUUCACUGAACUCUUGCACAGAAGACAAAAGAGGUGAAAAGGAGCAACUUUCUGUUUCAUUUUGAAUGGAGAUUUUUCCGCUCUCACUGCAUUCCGGAAGACAAAAAAAAAAAGAAAAAAUGUCAGCAGAGAUGCUUUCAUCAGAAGAUUUGAAGUCCCAACCCAUGCUAGAAGCCCAUCUCCCCAACCGCUGCCCCAUUAGUGAUAUCAAACCAGUCGUUUCCAGCAGAGCACAGACCCCACGUCAGCACUCCCCAAAUCCUGCAGACCCAUCAGGCCAAUCAAGACAUGAUUAAGAAGUCACAGAACCCACAGUGAGA